GGAAGUCUGACCGAGCAACGCCGCGUGAGUGAGGAAGGUUUCGGAUCGUAAAGCUCUGUUGUAAGAGAAGAACGAGUGUGAGAGUGGAAAGUUCACACUGUGACGGUAUCUUACCAGAAAGGGACGGCUAACUACGUGCCAGCAGCCGCGGUAAUACGUAGGUCCCGAGCGUUGUCCGGAUUUAUUGGGCGUAAAGCGAGCGCAGGCGGUUAGAUAAGUCUGAAGUUAAAGGCUGUGGCUUAACCAUAGUACGCUUUGGAAACUGUUUAACUUGAGUGCAAGAGGGGAGAGUGGAAUUCCAUGUGUAGCGGUGAAAUGCGUAGAUAUAUGGAGGAACACCGGUGGCGAAAGCGGCUCUCUGGCUUGUAACUGACGCUGAGGCUCGAAAGCGUGGGGAGCAAACAGGAUUAGAUACCCUGGUAGUCCACGCCGUAAACGAUGAGUGCUAGGUGUUAGACCCUUUCCGGGGUUUAGUGCCGCAGCUAACGCAUUAGGCACUCCGCCUGGGGAGUACGAC
This 517-nucleotide ribosomal RNA is filed under the name Streptococcus sp. oral taxon 058. Its description in RNAcentral is "bacterial SSU rRNA". It matches the Rfam family "Bacterial small subunit ribosomal RNA", at positions 377 to 886 of the family's 1533-position model. Lineage: Bacteria; Bacillati; Bacillota; Bacilli; Lactobacillales; Streptococcaceae. The record is from RNAcentral.